RNAcentral lists this ribosomal RNA (497 nucleotides) under uncultured bacterium. RNAcentral describes it as "partial 16S ribosomal RNA". It matches the Rfam family "Bacterial small subunit ribosomal RNA", at positions 28 to 507 of the family's 1533-position model. The record is from RNAcentral.
GAUGAACGCUGGCGGCGUGCCUAAUACAUGCAAGUCGAGCGAACAGACGAGGAGCUUGCUCCUCUGACGUUAGCGGCGGACGGGUGAGUAACACGUGGAUAACCUACCUAUAAGACUGGGAUAACUUCGGGAAACCGGAGCUAAUACCGGAUAAUAUAUUGAACCGCAUGGUUCAAUAGUGAAAGACGGUUUUGCUGUCACUUAUAGAUGGAUCCGCGCCGCAUUAGCUAGUUGGUAAGGUAACGGCUUACCAAGGCAACGAUGCGUAGCCGACCGGGGAGGGUGGUCGGCCACCCUGGAACGGGGACACGGUCCAGACUCCUACGGGAGGCAGCAGUAGGGAAUCUUCCGCAAUGGGCGAAAGCCUGCCGGAGCAACGCCGCGUGAGUGAUGAAGGUCUUCGGAUCGUAACACUCUGUUAUUAGGGAAGAACAAAUGUGUAAGUAACUAUGCACGUCUUGACGGUACCUAAUCAGAAGGCCACGGCUAACUAGGUG